GUUUCGAAACCUUAAGGUAGAAGGAGUCAAAUAGCAUUCCUAUGGAAAACAUUUCUGUAAUUUAGUUUAACAAGGCACCCAAAUACUUUUGUGAAAUCCAACAUAAAAGCAAAACAAGACUCCUGACAGUAUGGGUUCUACAAAAGUAGGCUUGUAUCAUAUGAAUUGAACAAAUAGUCCUAUACAUACUCUUCUGUGGCAAGAUGGGUGGAUAUUCCAUGCAAGCGCACAUAUAAAUUUUUUAUUCCCUCUCAGAAUCGUAUGAUCAAGGAGACUGUCAGUUUGCUAGUGAAGUUGUAAAAGCCUGAGCUACAUUUCCUGUUCGUAAGAAAGCUGGUGAAGAGAAGACUAGAGCCCUUUGAGACUGACGGCAACUCCAGAGAUAGAUUUGUGCUCUUAAGUCUGAUAUAAAACAGCAUCCAAGGUCUACCAGCAUAACAUAAGUUGAUUUCCUGUUGGAUAAAGAGGUGCGGGGCAUUCCUACAAGAACGUAACCAGGUUACAGGAAUGGACUGCCAUUAUUCUGUCUGGGGAGUUUUGGCCUUUCUAAGUUUGGCUCUCAUUUUUUCAUUGAUACUGAAUAUUUCACACUAUAUGAAAAAGAAACAAGAAGCUAAAAUGUAUAAAGACAAUGAAGACAACACUCAAAGGUAAGCUGUAUAAGUAAUCCUUUUCUGAGAAGAGUAAAAUAAGCAAUAAAUGAUGAUAGAUAUCUUUGAAUUUUCCUCUGUGCCACCCCUCCAAUAUCUUAUGUGGCCUGCCUAGAGAUACUGGAGAGCAGAAUGAUUGUUUAAAAAA
Meleagris gallopavo (turkey) is the source of this 798-nucleotide non-coding RNA. Lineage: Eukaryota; Metazoa; Chordata; Aves; Galliformes; Phasianidae. The record is from RefSeq and is a predicted model, not a curated record.